This 750-nucleotide ribosomal RNA is filed under the name Bacillus cereus. RNAcentral describes it as "bacterial SSU rRNA". It matches the Rfam family "Bacterial small subunit ribosomal RNA", at positions 56 to 787 of the family's 1533-position model. The record is from RNAcentral. Lineage: Bacteria; Bacillati; Bacillota; Bacilli; Caryophanales; Bacillaceae.
UGCAGUCGAGCGAAUGGAUUAAGAGCUUGCUCUUAUGAAGUUAGCGGCGGACGGGUGAGUAACACGUGGGUAACCUGCCCAUAAGACUGGGAUAACUCCGGGAAACCGGGGCUAAUACCGGAUAACAUUUUGAACCGCAUGGUUCGAAAUUGAAAGGCGGCUUCGGCUGUCACUUAUGGAUGGACCCGCGUCGCAUUAGCUAGUUGGUGAGGUAACGGCUCACCAAGGCAACGAUGCGUAGCCGACCUGAGAGGGUGAUCGGCCACACUGGGACUGAGACACGGCCCAGACUCCUACGGGAGGCAGCAGUAGGGAAUCUUCCGCAAUGGACGAAAGUCUGACGGAGCAACGCCGCGUGAGUGAUGAAGGCUUUCGGGUCGUAAAACUCUGUUGUUAGGGAAGAACAAGUGCUAGUUGAAUAAGCUGGCACCUUGACGGUACCUAACCAGAAAGCCACGGCUAACUACGUGCCAGCAGCCGCGGUAAUACGUAGGUGGCAAGCGUUAUCCGGAAUUAUUGGGCGUAAAGCGCGCGCAGGUGGUUUCUUAAGUCUGAUGUGAAAGCCCACGGCUCAACCGUGGAGGGUCAUUGGAAACUGGGAGACUUGAGUGCAGAAGAGGAAAGUGGAAUUCCAUGUGUAGCGGUGAAAUGCGUAGAGAUAUGGAGGAACACCAGUGGCGAAGGCGACUUUCUGGUCUGUAACUGACACUGAGGCGCGAAAGCGUGGGGAGCAAACAGGAUUAGAUACCC